Molecule: long non-coding RNA, 1369 nt
Organism: Peromyscus eremicus (cactus mouse)
Lineage: Eukaryota; Metazoa; Chordata; Mammalia; Rodentia; Cricetidae
Exons: 2
Source: RefSeq, a predicted model, not a curated record
AGGAGGAGACCGGGAGGCUUGGGCUCAACACAGUUGAUCCAGAAGUUGGCACAGCUGGCGUGGUACUGGUGUCCUCCAUAGGCCAGCUUGAAACUGUCUGUCUCCGAGUUGAAUGCCUGCCAGAAAUAGAUGUGGGUCAAGUCAGGUUCUCCCUGCAUCUAAGAGCUUGUCAGCAGCCACCACAGGCAAUCCCCAGGUGUCACAGAGGCUGAGGCCUGAAGGGCACACACAGACAAAAGCUGAGCAGGUGGCUAUAGGAUUCAAGUAGGAAAGUCUUAUUUAUUUAUUUUUUUAUUACUGCUAAUUAAAGGUAUAAAAUCAGUACCAUUCAACCUAGUUUCAGCAAAGGGCCCAAUCUUCACAGAAAAGGCAGACAGAGGUUACCGGAGAGAGGAAUGAGCAGGACACGGGAACUAAAACAGCCAAGGGCUGUGGGUAAUUGGGUCCCUCACUGUAAGGGCCACCCUCCCUGGAGGCUGCCAUUACUGUAACAUGUGAACCCUUAGAGUUCCAUGGCUGACUACAGCCCUAUCAGGACUGAAAACAUUGAAAAGAGCUAGAGAUCAACUGACAUUAACUCUCACGGUCUAACACCAUGGUUCUCACCCUGUAGGCCACGACCCACUCUAGGAUCACAUAUCAGAUAUUUAUGUUACAAUUCAGAACAUUAGCGAAACUAGAGUUAUGAAGUAGCAACAAAAUAAUUUAAUGGUUGGGGGUCACCACAACAGGAGGAACUGUAUUAAAAGGUCACAGCAUUGGAAAGGUUGAGAACACUGAGUUCUAAUGCUAUCGGGAGCUGACACCUGCGUGGACGUACAACAGCCCCCCUCAUCUGCAGCUCCGGUUACCCACAGCGGGUGACAUUCUGCAGUUGGUUGUCUUAAACACCACAGACAAAACCUUAAAACCCGAAUGAUCUGUUUUUGUCUGUCAUCCUCUAAAUCCGGUGUCACUACAACCUCUGGUCUUCCGGAAGGUGCUGGUGCGUGGCAGAGAAGGAUAAGGACAACACCGGCAGCUGACUGGCAGAGACAAGCAUGCAGACGAGACAGCAGCGGCUCCACACAGACACGUUGGUUGAUUUGAUCAAACAUUAUGGGGACAAAAAUGAGUCAGUGGAGGAUUCACGAUUGGCACAGUCCAGGAUGACCACAGAAUUGUCCGUUGACCUCUCAACACACAAGACUGAGACGGAGACACUAAGAUCCACAAGAUAAAAGCUUGGCUGACCUUCACUCAGGGCCAUCAGAGCAUCCUCAAGUCACUGAAGUAGACAGCUUUUCCUGCUAGAGAAACACCUGCUUCUACCACAAGAGGGAGUUUCAGUCCACAGUCACCCAGAGCAUUAAAGGGUUUUGCUAUGUAA